AGAAUGUUUUAUUCACUUCUUAUGUGACAGCAGACUACUCACUAGGUGGUAUGAUCCAACUUAAUAAGAUAGGGGAUCCAGUGUAACACAGAGCCUAAGUCUCUGAGGGAGGAUUAUGGAGAUGAAAUGGGGGAGAACCGGCGCUACUGUUGGAAGGGUGUGAGAUUGCCUUCAUGAUCUAUUUGAUUUAAUAACUCCAAGGUAACCUCUUAACUUGGUGUCUGGACCUAAAGCCUAUAAUCCCUUUUCUAGCAUUUUAAAUGUUCUUCAGUUAUUUAUUACAGUGUGAGUGAAUCUCAGAUCCUUUUGUGAGAACAAAUUUUAGCAAAGACUAGUCACAUGCCGUACAUCAUAUUAAAUUCUUGGGCUGCUGUGCACUCUGGGAUAGAAGCUGCUAAUAGGAAUGUUUGUCAUCCCCCUAUAUCAGGACUCAGUUCCUUUCCUGAAAUACUGGCUUUGGUAUGUCUGGGAUGGACUAAUUCCACCUUGGCAUCUCCUGGGACCUUGCUGUUCAAUGUUGAUAAAAUACCUUUGCAUUUUACAAACUUAUGUGAUAACUUCUGUAGCAAGUAUAGAAUGACGCAAUGACAGCCUAACAUAACCUACUGUGACAGAGAAUAAAAGGAGAGAGAGAAUAAAAUCAAGAACAAGAGAAUGAGAGAGGAG
Molecule: long non-coding RNA, 666 nt
Organism: Felis catus (domestic cat)
Lineage: Eukaryota; Metazoa; Chordata; Mammalia; Carnivora; Felidae
Exons: 3
Source: RefSeq, a predicted model, not a curated record